GACGAACGCUGGCGGCGUGCUUAACACAUGCAAGUCGAACGGAAAGGCCCUGCUUUUGUGCGGUGCUCGAGUGACGAACGGGUGAGUAACACUUGAGUUACCUAUCCUUGACUUUGAAAUAACUUCAGGAAACUGAAGCUAAUUCCGGAUAGGAGCUCCUGCUGCAUGGUGGGGGUUGGAAAGUUUAGGUGGUUGGGGAUGGACUCGCCGCUUAUCGGCUUGUUGGUGGGGUAGUGGCUUACCAAGGCAUUGACGGGUAGCCGGCCUGCGAGGGAGACCGGCCACAUUGGGACGGGGAUAGGGCCCAGACUCCUAUGGGAGGCAGCAGAGGGGUAUAGUACACUAUGGGCGGAGGGCUGAUGCAGCAACGCAGCGUCCGGGAUGAGGUCAACGCAGUCGGAAAGCACUGUCGCCUGAGACGAAACGUGAGUGACGGUAAUGGGUAAAGAAGCUCCGGCUAACUACGUG
This 468-nucleotide ribosomal RNA is filed under the name uncultured bacterium. RNAcentral's name for it is "partial 16S ribosomal RNA". It matches the Rfam family "Bacterial small subunit ribosomal RNA", at positions 28 to 507 of the family's 1533-position model. The record is from RNAcentral.